This is a long non-coding RNA of Homo sapiens (human), 1179 nucleotides long. RefSeq lists it as uncharacterized. The record is from RefSeq and is a predicted model, not a curated record. The transcript is spliced from 2 exons. NCBI's taxonomy places the organism in Eukaryota, Metazoa, Chordata, Mammalia, Primates, Hominidae.
ACAAGCCAGCAGCUUGAGGCUUGAAAUAGAACAGAAAGGGAAUUCACAGGACUCAACCUUGUCUUCUGUCUGGAGCUCUUGAGACCCAAGGAUACUGGCCAGGCGAACCACACUGCGAUAAGAAACAGCAGCUGAAAGUUUGUUUUUGGAGCCACCAGAUCCAGUGGGUGGACUGUGUCUUGAAAUAGAAGCAUCUCAAAGGCCUGUGAAUCAUUUCUUAGUGCCGGCCUGCAAGGUUUCAUAUCCUGUUCUCAGAGCUACCUUGGGUGCUGUAUGUAUAUCUGGAAGAAUUUUUCAAAUGGUUUUUGCGAGAAAGUUCAAACCCUGGAAUGACUAAGUCGCUGGAAGAAUUUGGACUUUGUGAGGGGAAUUUGCACUUGGUAUGAAUCACCCAGUCACUGAUUCCUGCAGUGAGAAGACCUUUCGGAAAGCUUCUGGGUCAGCCCCCUCGUACACAUGGGGAAACCGAGGCUCAAGGAGGGGAAGGACUUCAGCCAAGGUCCCACAGCAUGUCUGUGGAAAUGACAGGACUGGAAUCAGGUCUAGCUCCUGGAACAGCUUUGGAUUUGCAAGAAGCUCUCAAGCACCCAGUCUCCAUAGGUGGGCACAUUUUCCAAACAGUAGAGGAACAGAAAGAACAAGAGGGUUCUGAGGAGUUAGAACUCACCAUAGAGUUAUGGAAGGAAUGGGGAAGGGAUUGCCGGAAGGUAUUUUAUAUGAAAUAGCUCAUUUAAUCCUCCCCAGGAUCCUAUUAGGCAGUGGUUCUAAACUAGGGUUGAUUUUGCCCCCAGAGGACAUUUGGCAAGAUCAGGGGACAUUUUAGGUUUGUCACAGCUUGAGUGGGAGUUGCUACUGGCAUCUCUUGGCAGUGAAUACCCUAUGUGGUAGAGGCCAGGGAUACCGCUAAACAUCCUGCAAUGCACAGGACAGCCUCACAACAAAGAAUUAUCCAGCCCAAAAUGUCAAUAGUGUUGGGUCUGAGAAGCCCUGCUAUGCAGAGGGCGCUUGUAUAUACAUAUCAAUUUAACAGCCAAGAAAGCCGAGGCUCAGAAAGUGUAGCCACUCGCUAGCCACGUGGUCUUGGGCAAAUUAGCCUCUCUGUGUCUCAGUUUCCUUAUCUGUAAAAUGGAGGCAACAGUACCUCUGUUACCUAAAUAAACAUUUGUAAAGCACUUAGAA